RNAcentral lists this unclassified non-coding RNA (24 nucleotides) under Mus musculus (house mouse). RNAcentral describes it as "oocyte_clustered_small_RNA3034". The record is from RNAcentral. Lineage: Eukaryota; Metazoa; Chordata; Mammalia; Rodentia; Muridae.
UGUAGAUCCUUCCAGUGUAUAGGG